CCUGGGNACUGCGUUCUGAACUGGGUAGCUAGAGUAUNUCAGAGGGGGGUAGAAUUCCACGUGUAGCAGUGAAAUGCGUAGAGAUGUGGAGGAAUACCGAUGGCGAAGGCAGCCCCCUGGGAUAAUACUGACGUUCAUGCUNGAAAGCGUGGGUAGCAAACAGGAUUAGAUACCCUGGUAGUCCACGCCCUAAACGAUGUCGAUUAGCUGUUGGGCAACUUGAUUGCUUAGUAGCGUAGCUAACGCGUGAAAUCGACCGCCUGGGGAGUACGGUCGCAAGAUUAAAACUCAAAGGAAUUGACGGGGACCCGCACAAGCGGUGGAUGAUGUGGAUUAAUUCGAUGCAACGCGAAGAACCUUACCUGGUCUUGACAUGUACGGAACCUUCCAGAGACGGAGGGGUGCCUUCGGGAACCGUAACACAGGUGCUGCAUGGCUGUCGUCAGCUCGUGUCGUGAGAUGUUGGGUUAAGUCCCGCAACGAGCGCAACCCUUGUCAUUAGUUGCCAUCAUUAAGUUGGGCACUCUAAUGAGACUGCCGGUGACAAACCGGAGGAAGGUGGGGAUGACGUCAAGUCCUCAUGGCCCUUAUGACCAGGGCUUCACACGUCAUACAAUGGUCGGUACAGAGGGUAGCCAAACCGCGAGGUGGAGCCAAUCCCAGAAAACCGAUCGUAGUCCGGAUUGCACUCUGCAACUCGAGUGCAUGAAGUCGGAAUCGCUAGUAAUCGCAGGUCAGCAUACUGCGGUGAAUACGUUCCCGGGUCUUGUACACACC
RNAcentral lists this ribosomal RNA (777 nucleotides) under uncultured bacterium. RNAcentral describes it as "bacterial SSU rRNA". It matches the Rfam family "Bacterial small subunit ribosomal RNA", at positions 613 to 1391 of the family's 1533-position model. The record is from RNAcentral.